RNAcentral lists this ribosomal RNA (465 nucleotides) under uncultured bacterium. RNAcentral's name for it is "partial 16S ribosomal RNA". It matches the Rfam family "Bacterial small subunit ribosomal RNA", at positions 28 to 507 of the family's 1533-position model. The record is from RNAcentral.
GACGAACGCUGGCGGCGUGCUUAACACAUGCAAGUCGAACGGAAAGGCCCCUUUGGGGGUACUCGAGUGGCGAACGGGUGAGUAACACGUGAGUAACCUGCCCUUGACUUCGGGAUAACUUCAGGAAACUGGGGCUAAUACCGGAUAGGAAUCCUUGCUGCAUGGUGGGGGUUGGAAAGCUUCGGCGGUUUUGGAUGGACUCGCGGCUUAUCAGCUUGUUGGUGGGGUAGUGGCUUACCAAGGCUUUGACGGGUAGCCGGCCUGAGAGGGCGACCGGCCACAUUGGGACUGAGAUACGGCCCAGACUCCUACGGGAGGCAGCAGUGGGUAAUAUUGCACAAUGGGCGGAAGCCUGAUGCAGCAACGCCGCGUGCGGGAUGACGGCCUUCGGGUUGUAAACCGCUUUCAGCAGGGGCGAAGCUUGUGGUGACGGUACCUGCAGAAGAAGCACCGGCUAACUACGUG